CCUACGGGAGGCAGCAGUGGGGAAUAUUGGGCAAUGGAGGAAACUCUGGCCCAGCAACUCCGCGUGAAUGAUGAAGGUCUUCGGAUUGUAAAGUUCUUUUCUAAGGGAAGAAGAAAGUGACGGUACCUUAGGAAUAAGCCUCGGCUAACUACGUGCCAGCAGCCGCGGUAAUACGUAGGAGGCAAGCGUUAUCCGGAAUGACUGGGCGUAAAGGGUGCGUAGGUGGUUUGACAAGUUGGUAGCGUAACUCCGAGGCUUAACCUCGGCACUACUACCAAAACUGUUGGACUCGAGUGCAGGAGGGGCAAAUGGAAUUCCUAGUGUAGCGGUGGAAUGCGUAGAUAUUAGGAGGAACACCAGUGGCGAAGGCGAUUUGCUGGACUGUAACUGACACUGAGGCACGAAAGCGUGGGGAGCAAACAGGAUUAGAUACCCCUGUAGCC
This 443-nucleotide ribosomal RNA is filed under the name uncultured bacterium. RNAcentral describes it as "partial 16S ribosomal RNA". It matches the Rfam family "Bacterial small subunit ribosomal RNA", at positions 338 to 795 of the family's 1533-position model. The record is from RNAcentral.